Molecule: long non-coding RNA, 289 nt
Filed under: Lathyrus oleraceus (garden pea)
Lineage: Eukaryota; Viridiplantae; Streptophyta; Magnoliopsida; Fabales; Fabaceae
Description: Pisum sativum (pea) long non-coding RNA (PSAT_LNC035851)
Source: RNAcentral
AUGGUCAGGCGAUGGGGAAUGCAAUUACUGAAGAUUCAGAUUACACCCGGGCAGUGGGUAAAGAAACUAACAGUGACUGGGGAAUUGAUCAGUGGAUAAAAUCGUGCGUGCCAGGGAGCUGGAAGGCCUAAAAGAUCAACACUGUUACUCGUCUGGAAGAGUAUUAUUUCUUGUUUUCAGUUUAUUUGCAUGAAAGCCAUACGUGUUGCCCGACACGUAAUGGUCCAUUGUAAGGGCCACCUCAUGUUUAAAUUUGCAUUUCUGCAUCAUUAAUAAAUGGAUGUUUUUC